UGUGUAGGUGGCGCCGUAAGUCGGGUGUGAAAUCUCGGAGCUUAACUUCGAAACUGCACUCGAUACUGCGGUGCUUGAGGACUGGAGAGGAGACUGGAAUUUACGGUGUAGCAGUGAAAUGCGUAGAUAUCGUAAGGAAGACCAGUGGCGAAGGCGGGUCUCUGGACAGUUCCUGACACUGAGACACGAAGGCCAGGGAGCAAACG
RNAcentral lists this ribosomal RNA (206 nucleotides) under uncultured bacterium. RNAcentral describes it as "partial 16S ribosomal RNA". It matches the Rfam family "Bacterial small subunit ribosomal RNA", at positions 568 to 774 of the family's 1533-position model. The record is from RNAcentral.